Molecule: ribosomal RNA, 521 nt
Filed under: uncultured Glomus
Lineage: Eukaryota; Fungi; Glomeromycota; Glomeromycetes; Glomerales; Glomeraceae
Description: SSU rRNA
Rfam family: Eukaryotic small subunit ribosomal RNA
Source: RNAcentral
CCAAUAGCGUAUAUUAAAGUUGUUGCAGUUAAAAAGCUCGUAGUUGAAUUUCGGGAUCAAUUAAUUGGUCGUGCCUCUGGUACGUACUGAUUUUAUUGGUUUCUCCCUUCUGACGAACCAUGAUGUCAUUAAUUUGGUGUCGUGGAGAAUCAGGACUGUUACUUUGAAAAAAUUAGAGUGUUUAAAGCAAGCUAACGCUUGAAUACAUUAGCAUGGAAUAAUGAAAUAGGACGUUUGAUCCUAUUUUGUUGGUUUCUAGGAUCGACGUAAUGAUUAAUAGGGAUAGUUGGGGGCAUUAGUAUUCAAUUGUCAGAGGUGAAAUUCUUGGAUUUAUUGAAGACUAACUACUGCGAAAGCAUUUGCCAAGGAUGUUUUCAUUAAUCAAGAACGAAAGUUAGGGGAUCGAAGACGAUCAGAUACCGUCGUAGUCUUAACCAUAAACUAUGCCGACUAGGGAUCGGAUGAUGUUAAUUUUUUAAUGACUCAUUCGGCGCCUUACGGGAAACCAAAGUGUUUGGGUC